Molecule: transfer RNA, 70 nt
Filed under: Tanakia himantegus
Lineage: Eukaryota; Metazoa; Chordata; Actinopteri; Cypriniformes; Acheilognathidae
Description: tRNA-Arg
Source: RNAcentral
GGGGAAUUAGCCCAAGAUAAGAUCUCUGACUUCGGCUCAAAAAAUCAUGAUUUAGACCCAUAACCCCAAA